This is a long non-coding RNA of Hermetia illucens (black soldier fly), 346 nucleotides long. RefSeq lists it as uncharacterized. The transcript is spliced from 2 exons. The record is from RefSeq and is a predicted model, not a curated record. NCBI's taxonomy places the organism in Eukaryota, Metazoa, Arthropoda, Insecta, Diptera, Stratiomyidae.
ACGAAAAAAGGUGAUGUUCGGGAUUCAGCUUGAAAUUUUGAACUAGUUAACAACUGCAGCCGAGUGGAUUACGACUCUACGCGGAAAACGCAUUGAUGUAUGAAUGACUUUUCGUCCGAACCGUUGGCCUGUCAGGUGGCGAAGCACAGCGCACGACAGAGUACAAUUCAAAACUCUUAUUCACGCAAGUAUCACAGUCGGUUUGGUCGGAUUCGCCCGUGAGACGGAACCGCUGCGUAAUGCUCCCCACGUCCUUAACUUGAAAGACCUUCGCUUCCCAGAACUAAGCAAUCCAUUUUUGAUGACGCAUCGACUUAAAUUUAACAAGUAAAUGCUUUGAAUUUCA